Mycena rosella is the source of this 85-nucleotide non-coding RNA. The record is from the annotation of a GenBank genome assembly. Lineage: Eukaryota; Fungi; Basidiomycota; Agaricomycetes; Agaricales; Mycenaceae.
GCCUUCGUGGGGCAGGCUCUUCCUUCAAAUUGAGCGUAAUGUCAAGAUUUUGGGAGAGCCGGUGGUUCGAGUCCACCCGGAGGCA